GCAGCAAGUGCUAGUUCAAGUCAGUAAUCAUUUGAUGUGCGGGAUCUGUACUUCAACCUUCUUUUCGCCGGUAACCCCAUAAACUUAGUUGAGCUUCUUUCUACGAACCUGUCCCAUCCGAACCUCUAUUCGAACCUCUUCCUAUUGCUAUUGGUCGAUCUAGUCUUAUAAGUAACCUUCCUAUCCUCGCCAUCACUACUUCUCCCAAUCCCAACUAUCCUCUUACCUAUUGGAAUAUAAUAUCUAU
RNAcentral lists this long non-coding RNA (247 nucleotides) under Eucalyptus grandis. Its description in RNAcentral is "long non-coding RNA (EGRA_LNC007167)". Lineage: Eukaryota; Viridiplantae; Streptophyta; Magnoliopsida; Myrtales; Myrtaceae. The record is from RNAcentral.